This 570-nucleotide long non-coding RNA is filed under the name Pogona vitticeps (central bearded dragon). RNAcentral describes it as "lncRNA (ENSPVIG00000015052.1)". The record is from RNAcentral. Lineage: Eukaryota; Metazoa; Chordata; Lepidosauria; Squamata; Agamidae.
GGGGGGGGGGAGGGGGAGGGGGGGGGGGAGGGAAGGAGAAGAGCCAAGCUGUUCAGAAGACAAGGAAAAGUUAUGUGACUCCUGAUGAAAUAUUCAUACACCAGAAUUCGAGUCAGAGCAGCUUCAUGCAAACUGCCUUGGGAAUUUCUAUUUGAAAGGCUGGAGAUCUCAGAAGAGGGUGGAUUGCCACUCUGUUGAAGGUCUCUUUAACCAGAGACAUUCUGUAUUGGAAAGACAGGAACACAGUGAGUAUCUUUGUUUUGGGGGGGGGGUAGCUUUGAAAAUGAGAAAACCCUGACAGUGUGCUAAAGUAAUGAUUAAUACGGACGGCAUUCUGCUUCUAAAAGCCAUAAGAUCUUUAAUAUCAACACAAUAUAUGAGACUUCACUUGAAGCUCUUAUCUGAAGGAUGACAUUGAGGGUGCUAUUUCAUCUUCCGUCUGUGGAAGGGAACCAGGAGGAGAAUCAUUUCUGAGGUCCCUUUGCUUCGCCAUAAAGCUUGUACAUACAUAUGAACCAGAUCCUGAUUCUCACUACCACCUUUCUUUGAGAUAAUAUCCAUUUGAACUGG